Molecule: ribosomal RNA, 257 nt
Filed under: uncultured bacterium
Lineage: Bacteria
Description: partial 16S ribosomal RNA
Rfam family: Bacterial small subunit ribosomal RNA
Source: RNAcentral
UACGUAGGGUGCAAGCGUUUGUCCGGAUUUAUUGGGCGUAAAGAGCUCGUAGGCGGUUUUGAAAGUCGGGUGUGAAACCUCCAGGCUCAACCUGGAGACGCCACUCGAUACUUCAAUGACUUGAGUUCGGUAGGGGUAAGCGGGAAUUCCUGGUGUAGCGGUGAAAUGACGCAGAUAUCAGGAGGAACACCGACGGCGAAGGCAGCUUACUGGGCCGAUACUGACGCUGAGGAGCGAAAGCGUGGGGAGCGAACAGG